AUCCUACGCCCAUCCUUUCUGUGCCAAAUGGAUAGAUAAAGAUGAUUGGUUGGCCAUUCAAAUUCAAAUGAAGUUUGAAUUUAAAUGGGCAACCAACCAACUCCAUGCACCCCCUCUUAUCUUGUGCGCCACUUUAUUUACACGAGAAAGAGUUUCUCGUGUAAACUCUCCAUGCACAAAUGAUGCCACACCCCUUCUCUUCUCAUGCCCAAGUGGAUAGGGAUGAGUUGGUUUGCAUUUGAAUUCAAAUUUGAUUUGAAUUCAAAUGUGCAACCACUUAUCUUUAUCCUCUCACGCGGAUAAGAGACGUCUUGUGUUGUUUUAAAAAGAGAAGAAAGGUGGGACGUGCGUAGAAAAUUUUUGAGAGAUAGCUUGGGG
This 378-nucleotide long non-coding RNA is filed under the name Elaeis guineensis (African oil palm). RNAcentral describes it as "long non-coding RNA (EGUI_LNC080817)". Lineage: Eukaryota; Viridiplantae; Streptophyta; Magnoliopsida; Arecales; Arecaceae. The record is from RNAcentral.